GCACAUAUACUAAAAUUGGAAUGAUACAGAGAAGAUUAGCAUGGCUGCUGCGCAAGGACGAUACGCAAAUUCGUGAAGCGUUCCAUAUUUAA
Molecule: small nuclear RNA, 92 nt
Filed under: Sciurus vulgaris (Eurasian red squirrel)
Lineage: Eukaryota; Metazoa; Chordata; Mammalia; Rodentia; Sciuridae
Source: RNAcentral